UGAUGAAGGCCUUAGGGUUGUAAAGCCCUUUUGUUGGGAAAGAAAAGCAGUCGGCUAAUACCCGGUUGUUCUGACGGUACCCAAAGAAUAAGCACCGGCUAACUUCGUGCCAGCAGCCGCGGUAAUACGAAGGGUGCAAGCGUUACUCGGAAUUACUGGGCGUAAAGCGUGCGUAGGUGGUUGUUUAAGUCUGUUGUGAAAGCCCUGGGCUCAACCUGGGAAUUGCAGUGGAUACUGGGCGACUAGAGUGUGGUAGAGGGUAGUGGAAUUCCCGGUGUAGCAGUGAAAUGCGUAGAGAUCGGGAGGAACAUCCAUGGCGAAGGCAGCUACCUGGACCAACACUGACACUGAGGCACGAAAGCGUGGGGAGCAAACAGGAUUAGAUACCCU
Molecule: ribosomal RNA, 390 nt
Filed under: Stenotrophomonas sp. Voro5
Lineage: Bacteria; Pseudomonadati; Pseudomonadota; Gammaproteobacteria; Lysobacterales; Lysobacteraceae
Description: bacterial SSU rRNA
Rfam family: Bacterial small subunit ribosomal RNA
Source: RNAcentral